GCCUGGCUUUCCCAAGCCCGGCCUUGCCGCGCCAGCCCGGCUGAUCUCUCCCUGUCCUGGGCUGGGCAGGCAGGCCUGGCUGAGCUGGGCUUUCCUGAGCCAGGCUUUCCCGAGCCUGGCUUUGCUGAGCCCAGCCUUGCCGAGCCAGCCCGGCUGAUCUCUCCGGCGCAGCCCGCAGGCCGCCGUGCCGGACCCGUGCCUGCCGCGGGACGCGCGGGACGAGCUGCGGCACCGGGGGCUGCGGCUGCUGCUGCGCGGCACCGGCGACUUCCAGCUGUGCCGGGAGAGGCUGCGGCCGCUGCUGAACCGCACCAACGGCACCCGCGGCUCCCUGAACGGCGUCUCCCAGCCGCCCCUGCAGCUCCAGAGCAGCGAGUUCUACGGCUUCUCCGAGUUCUACUACUGCACCGAGGACGUGCUCCGCAUGGGCGGCGACUACAGCGCCGCCCGCUUCGCCAGAGCCGCGCAGGAUUACUGUGCCACCAGGUGGUCGGUGCUGCGGGAGCGCUUCGAGCGCGGCCUCUACGCCCCCCACGCGGAUCUGCACCGCCUCAAGUGAGCGGGGUCGGGCUCUGGGCUUUGGGGUUUGCCUUGGUUUGAAAAGUCAGGAGGCUGUGAAGGGAGGCAAGGGCCUCCUGUGUAAUGGAAAAGGUAAAUCCCUUCCCGCCGAAUUGCCCCCAUUUCAAAAUUAAAAGGCUUUCAGGUAAAGAUAUGGGAAUAACAGGUCUUUACUAGGAAAAAAAACUAAAUUUAAAAAGUGUAAUUAGUACAAACAAAACUAGUGAUGGAGUCAGAAUCUGAGACACUGAGGAGUCAGGGUGUUGGGAAUAGUCCAGUUAAAUGGUGGCUGCUCCUCCUGAGGGGCAGAUGAAAUGGUGCUGAAGGGUGAAAUCUGUAGAAGGGUGGAGUUUGCUCUGAAGAUCUGGUGAUGGAGUAGCUGGGCCUGGUCUUCCUCUGGGGAUCCAGCAGAGAAGAAGCUGGGAAGAAGCUGGGAAGAAGCUGCUCCUCUGGGAACCCCACAGAGGGGCUGCCCGGUGUCCCAAAAAGUGUUGAUUUUAUGCCGGUAUGGAUGCUUGGCUCCUCCCUCUGGGCGGAGCAUCUCACAAUGGAAUGAUGGAACUUCACCGGACACAGUGAAUCGUUCAAUGGCCCGGAAACAGCAGAGAUCUCCCCAUGGGAGACGCAGCUCCGGGAAGAGAUGAGAAACCUGCCCCACCUCCAGCAAGAGGAAACGUGCUUAUCUUAAAAUCCAGGACAGGGUUUGACCCGGGAGUUCCUCCUGCCAGGGCCUGUCCCUUUGCUGGGUCACUGGAAGUGGGAAAAGAACUUGGAAAAGCUGAUAAUUGUAGGAGAAUCCCUUUGGAAAGCUGAGAAGUCCAGAAAAAUCCCUUGGGAAAGCUGAGAAUUGUAGGAGAAUCCCUUGGGAAAGCUGAGAAUUGUGGAAAAACUCCCCUGGGAAAGUUGAGAAUUGUAGGAAAAUCCCUUGGGAAAGCUGAGAAGUCCAGAAAAAUCACUUGGGAAAGCUGGGAAUUGUAGGAAAAUCCCUUGGGAAAGCUGAGAAUUGUGGUAAAAUCCCUUGGGAAAGCUGAGAAUUGUGGAA
This is a long non-coding RNA of Chloebia gouldiae (Gouldian finch), 1600 nucleotides long. The record is from Ensembl. Lineage: Eukaryota; Metazoa; Chordata; Aves; Passeriformes; Passeridae.